This is a long non-coding RNA of Trifolium pratense (red clover), 373 nucleotides long. RefSeq lists it as uncharacterized. Lineage: Eukaryota; Viridiplantae; Streptophyta; Magnoliopsida; Fabales; Fabaceae. The record is from RefSeq and is a predicted model, not a curated record. The transcript is spliced from 2 exons.
AAAAAAACAAAAAAAAUACAAUGUGAGAAUAGAGAGAGAGUAGUAAGUGAAGAAGAGAAGGGAAAGAAGGGAAGUCUCAGACCUCAAGCUUAGGAGGAAAAUCACUACAAAUCCAAAUUUUUCAGGUAACAGAUGAGUCUUAGCCGUCGAGUGUCGAGGAUGGCUAUAGGAUGCUAUCUUCUUUUUCUGCUUUCAAUAAAUUAAAUCGCUCUGAUAGGAGGCCAAUUGGGAGGGGGACUCUUAUUUACAUUUUCAGUUAUUAUUACAUUAAAAGAAAAAAGAAACUAUUGUAAUUUCAGUUGUUUUUCCAUCUAGACUAUUGAACCAUGUUAUUCGUUUUAGUGAUUUUCAAUCCAGGCUUCAGGAUUCAUAA